UACGGAGGGUGCAAGCGUUAUCCGGAUUUAUUGGGUUAAAGGGUCCGUAGGCGGACUCGUAAGUCAGUGGUGAAAUCUCAUAGCUUAACUAUGAAACUGCCAUUGAUACUGCGGGUCUUGAGUAAAGUAGAAGUGGCUGGAAUAAGUAGUGUAGCGGUGAAAUGCAUAGAUAUUACUUAGAACACCAAUUGCGAAGGCAGGUCGACUAUGUUUAACUGACGCUGAUGGACGAAAGCGUGGGGAGCGAACAGG
Molecule: ribosomal RNA, 252 nt
Filed under: uncultured bacterium
Lineage: Bacteria
Description: partial 16S ribosomal RNA
Rfam family: Bacterial small subunit ribosomal RNA
Source: RNAcentral